UUUACAGUGGUGUGAUGGGGUAUCACUGUUGCCUCCACCAUAAAAGGUCCUGGGUUCAAGUCCCAGCUGGGGCG
Molecule: transfer RNA, 74 nt
Filed under: Anguilla anguilla (European eel)
Lineage: Eukaryota; Metazoa; Chordata; Actinopteri; Anguilliformes; Anguillidae
Description: tRNA-OTHER
Source: RNAcentral